CAAUUUUUCAUUCCGAAACAACAUCAAUCGGAUAAAAGUUCAGCGUUUACAGAUAUCCAGUCCAUGUAUGCAGUUGGAGCUGAUAGCAUGUAUGCAAUGUACAUGUACAUGUAGAGUUACACGUUCAUCAUGGAUAUUUCAAUGUGGCCGUCAUUUGAACCUCAAACUGUUGUGUAAAACAAACUAUGGGAAAGGGUUAAGCAUGAAGAUGUUAUCAUCUAGUGAACCACCAAACUAAUUUACAUUUCGUGGACAUUAACAGGAGUCAUCAGGAACACAUGAUUGCAGUCUGUGCCAAAGUGUUUGAAGAAAUUGUGUUUAUCAUUGAAAUAAAUGUGCAGUGGUUA
Molecule: long non-coding RNA, 347 nt
Organism: Mya arenaria
Lineage: Eukaryota; Metazoa; Mollusca; Bivalvia; Myida; Myidae
Exons: 3
Source: RefSeq, a predicted model, not a curated record